RNAcentral lists this ribosomal RNA (458 nucleotides) under uncultured bacterium. Its description in RNAcentral is "partial 16S ribosomal RNA". It matches the Rfam family "Bacterial small subunit ribosomal RNA", at positions 338 to 795 of the family's 1533-position model. The record is from RNAcentral.
CCUACGGGUGGCAGCAGUGAGGAAUAUUGGUCAAUGGUCGGGAGACUGAACCAGCCAAGCCGCGUGAGGGAUGAAGGUACAGAGUAUCGUAAACCUCUUUUGUCAGGGAACAAAGGCGGGACGUGUCCCCGGAUGAGUGUACCUGUAGAAAAAGCAUCGGCUAACUCCGUGCCAGCAGCCGCGGUAAUACGGAGGGUGCGAGCGUUAUCCGGUUUUAUUGGGUUAAAGGGGUGCGCGGGCGGUCUGUUAGGUCAGCGGUAAAAGCCUGGGGCUAAACCCCGGCCCGCAGUUGAAACUGGCAGUCUCGAGUUGGAGAGAGGUAUGCGGAAUGCGCGGUGUAGCGGUGAAAUGCAUAGAUAUCGCGAAGAACCCCGAUUGCGAAGGCAGCAUGCCGGCUCCACACUGACGCUGAGGCACGAAAGCGUGGGUAUCGAACAGGAUUAGAUACCCCUGUAGUC